AAAUGAUGUUUUAAUAAAAGACUACUGCAAAAAAUUCCUCCACCUUAAAGCAUAAUCGAACUUGCAUAACACGACAGUCAUAGGUGAUUCAGGUAAAUACAGAGGGAUAACACACGCUGCUCAAUUAGUUCUAAUGGUAAAUGUUGUUUUAUUACAUCCUCAAAUAGAGGCCUCACAUUCGAACUUGGGAAACAUUAAGUCAAUAAGUGCACUAAAAUGAAUAUAGUGUGAAUAGACUUCCUUCAUCAAUUAGCCUCGCUGAAUUUGUUAAAUUAUCACACAAAUUUUCUUAAGUUCUUGAUGAGGUCUCUCUUAAGAGUUAUCUCCUCUGUUUAAUCCUUCAGUCUUUCAUACUCGCAAAUAUCAAUACUAUGUGUCCUGAAAGAAAUUGGGAGUGUAACACUACUUGGUUUGUUCUGUCAUGUAACCUGAGAUAAUUUCUUUUCUCAGCUUCUGAUUGUCGCCUCUCAUAUGUAAAUCAUAUAACCACCAGAACUGACGUAUACAGUUUUGGAGUUGAAGAAAAACCGCCCCCACGGAGAACAUAAUCUAAUCCAAUAGGCUUAAGCCUUUAUAGAUUACCUCUAUUUUAUAGUUUACUGACAAAUUAAAGUUCAUCUCAAGAGUUGUACAUGUUCAUGAAUAAAAGUAAUAAACUUAAUUUUAUUUCUUUAACAUGUGAUGCACUCACUGUAUUACUUCAGAAAUAAUGAAUAGUUGGUGCAGUUAUACAAUAUCUCUUUACUUACCGUUUGUCUACUAUAGAUUCGAAGACCACAGGGUGAGAUUGUAUUCAUUUUGUCCCUAUAUAAGAUGACAUAGUUAUGUCGAUUAUUGUCUCCUAACUCCUUGGAGAAGAGAUUUUCCAUUUUGUAUAGGAUAGUCAAGGGAUGGGAUGGGGGCCGUUGUAAUCCAGCAAAACUCAAUGGGAUGGAUGGGUGAGGAUUUAGGGGUAGCCGGUGUAGGAUAGUCCAGGGAUGGGAUGGGGGUUGGAUGCAAUGGCUAAUUUGGAAUUUUCACUAAGG
RNAcentral lists this long non-coding RNA (1025 nucleotides) under Solanum tuberosum (potato). RNAcentral describes it as "long non-coding RNA (STUB_LNC009683)". The record is from RNAcentral. Lineage: Eukaryota; Viridiplantae; Streptophyta; Magnoliopsida; Solanales; Solanaceae.